GGCUUAACACAUGCAAGUCGAGGGGCAUCAGGACGAUAGCUUGCUUUCUUUGCUGGCGACCGGCGCACGGGUGAGUAACACGUAUCCAACCUGCCCUUUACUCGGGGAUAGCCUUUCGAAAGAAAGAUUAAUACCCGAUAGCAUAAUGAUUCCGCAUGGUUUCAUUAUUAAAGGAUUCCGGUAAAGGAUGGGGAUGCGUUCCAUUAGGUUGUUGGUGAGGUAACGGCUCACCAAGCCUUCGAUGGAUAGGGGUUCUGAGAGGAAGGUCCCCCACAUUGGAACUGAGACACGGUCCAAACUCCUACGGGAGGCAGCAGUGAGGAAUAUUGGUCAAUGGGCGCUAGCCUGAACCAGCCAAGUAGCGUGAAGGAUGAAGGCUCUAUGGGUCGUAAACUUCUUUUAUAUAAGAAUAAAGUGCAGUAUGUAUACUGUUUUGUAUGUAUUAUAUGAAUAAGGAUCGGCUAACUCCGUGCCAGCAGCCGCGGUAAUACGGAGGAUCCGAGCGUUAUCCGGAUUUAUUGGGUUUAAAGGGAGCGUAGGUGGACUGGUAAGUCAGUUGUGAAAGUUUGCGGCUCAACCGUAAAAUUGCAGUUGAUACUGCCAGUCUUGAGUACAGUAGAGGUGGGCGGAAUUCGUGGUGUAGCGGUGAAAUGCUUAGAUAUCACGAAGAACUCCGAUUGCGAAGGCAGCUCACUGGACUGCAACUGACACUGAUGCUCGAAAGUGUGGGUAUCAAACAGGAUUAGAUACCCUGGUAGUCCACACAGUAAACGAUGAAUACUCGCUGUUUGCGAUAUACAGUAAGCGGCCAAGCGAAAGCAUUAAGUAUUCCACCUGGGGAGUACGCCGGCAACGGUGAAACUCAAAGGAAUUGACGGGGGCCCGCACAAGCGGAGGAACAUGUGGUUUAAUUCGAUGAUACGCGAGGAACCUUACCCGGGCUUAAAUUGCAGUGGAAUGAUGUGGAAACAUGUCAGUGAGCAAUCACCGCUGUGAAGGUGCUGCAUGGUUGUCGUCAGCUCGUGCCGUGAGGUGUCGGCUUAAGUGCCAUAACGAGCGCAACCCUUAUCUUUAGUUACUAACAGGUCAUGCUGAGGACUCUAGAGAGACUGCCGUCGUAAGAUGUGAGGAAGGUGGGGAUGACGUCAAAUCAGCACGGCCCUUACGUCCGGGGCUACACACGUGUUACAAUGGGGGGUACAGAAGGCAGCUAGCGGGUGACCGUAUGCUAAUCCCAAAAGCCUCUCUCAGUUCGGAUCGAAGUCUGCAACCCGACUUCGUGAAGCUGGAUUCGCUAGUAAUCGCGCAUCAGCCACGGCGCGGUGAAUACGCUCCCGGGCCUUGUACACACCGCCCGUCAAGCCAUGGGAGCCGGGGGUACCUGAAGUACGUAACCGCAAGGAUCGUCCUAGGGUAAAACUGGUGACUG
RNAcentral lists this ribosomal RNA (1429 nucleotides) under uncultured organism. RNAcentral describes it as "SSU rRNA". It matches the Rfam family "Bacterial small subunit ribosomal RNA". The record is from RNAcentral.